GCGUGAGUAGCUCAGCAGGAUAGAGCGUCCCUCUCCUAAAGGGAAGGUCGCGGGUUCGAAUCCCGCCUCGCGCA
Molecule: transfer RNA, 74 nt
Filed under: Micrococcaceae bacterium
Lineage: Bacteria; Bacillati; Actinomycetota; Actinomycetes; Micrococcales; Micrococcaceae
Also listed under: 6 other names
Description: tRNA-Arg
Rfam family: tRNA
About the family: Transfer RNA (tRNA) molecules are approximately 80 nucleotides in length. Their secondary structure includes four short double-helical elements and three loops (D, anti-codon, and T loops). Further hydrogen bonds mediate the characteristic L-shaped molecular structure. tRNAs have two regions of fundamental functional importance: the anti-codon, which is responsible for specific mRNA codon recognition, and the 3' end, to which the tRNAs corresponding amino acid is attached (by aminoacyl-tRNA synthetases). tRNAs cope with the degeneracy of the genetic code in two manners: having more than one tRNA (with a specific anti-codon) for a particular amino acid; and 'wobble' base-pairing, i.e. permitting non-standard base-pairing at the 3rd anti-codon position.
Source: RNAcentral